CUCUGCAAGAACUAGUUUAGAUAUGAGGGUCCAGGUUCAGGUCCUGGGGCUCCUUUUGCUCUGUAUAGUAGGUGCCCAGUGUGAUGUCCAGAUAACCCAGUCUCCAUCUUAUCUUGCUGCAUCUCCUGGAGAAAGUGUUUCCAUUACUUGCAGGGCAAGUAAGAGCAUUAACAAAUAUUUAGCCUGGUAUCAACAGAAACCCGGGAAAGCUAAUAAGCUUCUUAUCUACUCUGGAUCCACUUUGCAAUCUGGAAUCCCAUCAAGAUUUAGUGGCAGUGGAUCUGGUACAGAUUUCACUCUCACCAUCAGGAGCCUGGAGCCUGACGAUUUUGCAACGUAUUACUGUCAACAGCAUAAUGAACUCCCAUACCACAGUGAUACAAGUCAUAACAAAAACCACAAGGGAAGCAGAAAACAGAUGGAACAAAUUUUCAAACAUUUCAGUGGCACUUUUCCAGGAAAUAUUUGCCCUCAUGAAGAGAAGUGUGGAGAUAACAAAUAAAAUCCUAGGAUAUGAUAAACUUAAUCAGGCUACAGUAGUUGUAUAG
Molecule: non-coding RNA, 548 nt
Organism: Arvicanthis niloticus (Nile rat)
Lineage: Eukaryota; Metazoa; Chordata; Mammalia; Rodentia; Muridae
Source: RefSeq, a predicted model, not a curated record